ACACACAUGCGGUGGGGAGGCAUGUUAACAAUGGAGGCAGAGGGUGGAGGGGUGAGGCUACCAACCAAAGGAGGCCAAGGAUUGCCGGCAACUACCAGAAAUUAGGAGUGAGGCAUGGAACGGAUUCUCCCUGAGAACUUCCAGAAGGAACCAACCCUGCUGACACCUUGAUUUAGGAUAUCCAGCCUCUGAACUGCCACCUCAUUUGUAGUGAUUGGUGGUGGCCAUCCUGGGAAGCGAACACACUAAUCAAAGAGAGACAACAGAAAAGUGACUUUCUCAAGUCACUCUUGGACCGCGUUUGGCAACAAGCCCUCUGGUCUGAAAGUCAUGGUUCCCCACUGGCGGUGAGUCGGCAGAGGGAAAAGCCGCGAUGAAUCAAUCCCUGGCCUCACAGGAAGCCUGCCUUCCUGUCAACAAAGCACACAGUGAAAAGCCGUCGACAUCAGGCCAGAGGGCCACCGCCUGGCCCCUGUCACAAGGCUCAGACAGAGAGAAUCUUGUCAUCAACGGGAGGGAAAAAUAGGAGAGCCCACCCAACUGCGUUCACAUCUGGUCCCCAGGAGGUCCCUCCUGCUCAGGGCGCGCCCGCCCGUGGGGACAGCUGGGAAGAUGAGGCCGAGGCCCCUCGAAUCUCAGUUUUAAUAACGGGCCAGAUAGUUCCCCACAAACCCACUUGACGCUCAAAGCAGUUCUUCAGCAUUUGGCAACCCAGUUCCCUUUGAGCAUCUGUUAAGUGCCAUGCAUCAGCUCUCUCCCCACGGGGGAAUAAAUCGUCUGAUCUGUACAAUUUCAAGGCCUCCUGAACUCCUGAAGCCCAUCCAUCGGCAAGCAAGUAUUUUGGAACUGCCUACUGGCCACCAGGCACUGUGCUGGAGGAAGAGACUAGGCAUUUUUCUUCCUGAAGCCCAGUGCUGGGAGGGCGGUGCAGAACUUCCCACGGCUGCCAUAACACGUCACUACAAACUCGGAGGCUUAGAAUGAUAGGAGUGUAUUUGCUCACAAUUCAGGAGGCGAGACGUCUGGUAUCAUGAUGUUCGCAGGGUUGGUUCCUUUGGGAGACUCAGAGGGAGGCUCUGUUCCAUGCCUCCCCUAGCUUCUUGGGGUUGCCGGCAACCUGUGGCCAUCCUUGGCUUGAAGACACAUCACCCCACCCUCUGCCUCCAUCUUCACAUCGCCCUCCCUUCUGUGUGUCUCCCUGCGUCCUCCCCUCUUCUUCUAAGGACACCAGUUGUUGGAUUUAGGGCCCACUCUGAAUCAAGUAUGGUAUCACAGAGAUCUUUAAUUACCUUUGCCAAGACCCUAGCCCCAAAUUAGGUCACAUCCUGAGGUUCUGGGUAGACAUGAAUUUGGGGGUGAUGCUCUUUAACCCAACACAGGUGGUCGGAUGGUUAAGCAGUCACCAUGGAGAGCAGCAAAGGUGAUGGCUGAGUCUACCUGAGGCAUCCAACACAGCGUUCCUGAGGACCUGGUGAGCAAUUGGGAAGCAAAUGGUGAGUAGAAGCUAAUUCAAUGGGAGCAGAGAAAAGUGCCCCAGAAAGAACGAAUCACACAGGUGAGGCCCAGAGAGAGGCCCCAACUGAGGACAGCUGUAAGACGGAAGGGGCCACACAGAGAACCGGUAUGGACGGUGUGCUGGUCUUAUGAGAUGCUCUCCGGAGUUUGGAUUUUAUUCUUAGGGUCACGACACGCCUUUGAAGUGUGGGAAGCAGAGGAGUGUUUCUAGACAGUUCACCUUGGCCGAGGUGAGGAGGAUGGACUGAAGUGAGAGAGACCAGAUGCAGGGACCCCACGGGUCUAUACCUCACGUGAAAGCUCCCAGCUUGAGGAUGCAAGCGGCUGAAACCCAGAUGUUGCACGUACUGUCCCAGCCAGGUACCUAGAAUGACUCCACUGAGCCAAAUGGAGGGAUUCACCCCAGGCAGACGGUAUCGGAGCAGAUCCAUCAGAUCAGCGUCAGCCCAAGUAGAAACCCCAAAAGUCUGAAAGCUGGCACUUGCUCUCAAUCUAAGCAGGGAACGGGGCUAGGCACUGGAGCGAAAAAACGUACAAACACUUGGCCCGGUUCAGAUACACACGCCUUCUACUUUUGUGGUCCCUUAGAGUUAAGUGUGCCUUAAAUGGACCAGCACAUCCUACCCGCUCACAAAUAAGCCUGUCUGACCUCAGUGCACCCCACUGACUUUCAGUCGCUCUUCAAAGGUCACCUUCACCCUUGAACCCCUAGGCUGAGGUCCACGCCCUACCCACAGACUCCAGAAAUUCCUGGUGCAGGCUUAUGUGCUAGAUUGUGAUCUGUCCUUUCCUUUCAUCCUAUCUCCACUACCAGACCUUGAGGGCAAGGAUUUUUAUCUUGUUCGCCUUUGUGUUCCUCGCUCCCAGUACACAUUCGCGCACAACCCCACACACAAAAUAGGUGAUAUCGGAUGGAUGGACGGACAGACGGAAGGAUGGAUGGAUGGAUUUCUUCAUGAUGCUCUACUGGCUUCAAACCAAAUUCAUCAACCAAUUAAUUAAAUCAACAUGGACCCAUCAAUUACUCUAUAAGUGCUUUGUGCUGCCCUCUCCCUCCCUGAGAGUCAGGCUCCGUAAGAUGACCGGCUGUGUGCGUUACUCAGACAUCAGUGUCAGCAGCUGCUCUUUGGCCACUUACAAGACGUCCCCUCUGUGCUCAGGGAUGCGGGAGCCGGAGCACAAGCCUUGCAUCUGUUCGGGACUCCAGC
Molecule: long non-coding RNA, 2723 nt
Organism: Camelus dromedarius (Arabian camel)
Lineage: Eukaryota; Metazoa; Chordata; Mammalia; Artiodactyla; Camelidae
Exons: 3
Source: RefSeq, a predicted model, not a curated record